This 921-nucleotide long non-coding RNA is filed under the name Salmo salar (Atlantic salmon). RNAcentral describes it as "lncRNA (ENSSSAG00000089897.1)". Lineage: Eukaryota; Metazoa; Chordata; Actinopteri; Salmoniformes; Salmonidae. The record is from RNAcentral.
ACCAGCGAUUUGUCGCUUGCGAGUUACUGAGAGGUCAGCGGGAGGUGAGGCCUUCGAGAGGUAUAAGGGAGGCUAUUUAUUCACUUUAAGUUAUAUGAUAUCGUCCACUGAACCCCCUUUCUUCCUCAAAAGGAUCAGAGUUAAUCUGAUCUUUCAAGGACCUUUGAAGCAGCAAAUUGAGGAAAUGUCUGAUUUUCAAGGUUUUGUCGUGCCCUAUUCACGACUGUCUUGGUGUGCUUUGACCAUGUUAUUUUGUUGGCGAUGUGGAAGCCAAGGAACUUGAAGCUCUCAACCUGCUCCACUACAGCCCCGUCGAUGAGAAUGGGGGCGUGCUCAGUCUUCUUUUUCCUGUAGUCCACAAUCAUCUCCUUUGUCUUGAUCACAUUGAGUGAGAGGUUGUUGUCCUGCCACCACAUGACCAGGUAUCUGACCACCUCCCUAUAGGCUGUCUUGUCGUUGUCGGUGAUCAGGCCUACCACUGUUGUGUCAUCUGCAAAGCUAAUGAUGGUGUUGGAGUCGUGCCUGGCCGUGCAGUCAUGAUUGUUUAGGGAGUACAGGAGGGGACUGAGCACGCACCCUUGAGGGGCCCAUGUGUUGAGGAUCAGCGUGGCGGAUGUGUUGUUACCUACCCUUAAUCUUUAUGUAAUUUAUCUUUGUUUCAUAGUGAAGUCUCUUCUUUUUAUUCAGUUUAGUCACAUGAUUUUUCAAUUUGUAGUAUGUUUGCCAAUGGGUUGUGCAGCCAGACUUAUUUGCCAUUCCUUUUGCCUCAUCCCUCUCAACCACACAAUUUUUCAAUUCCUCAUCAACCCACAGGUAUUUAACCAUUUUACAGUCAUUUUCUUAAUGGGUGCAUGCUUAUUAGUAACUGGGAUAAGAAAUUUCAUAAAUGUUUCAAGUGCAGCGUCUGUUUGCUCCUCAUUA